Amblyraja radiata (thorny skate) is the source of this 237-nucleotide long non-coding RNA. RefSeq lists it as uncharacterized. The transcript has 3 exons. NCBI's taxonomy places the organism in Eukaryota, Metazoa, Chordata, Chondrichthyes, Rajiformes, Rajidae. The record is from RefSeq and is a predicted model, not a curated record.
GGUUGCCAGCGACAGCGGCUCGUGUGCGAAAGAUGGGGGAGCGUGUGUUUAGCUUCACGGGAAGCCCUCUCGUUGAUGCCACAGAAACAGAGAAUAAACAGGACAUCCAAAUUCUGGCCAGCAAGAUAAGCAGCACAGAUUUAACUGAACUGGAUGACCAGACAUUUAAAAGUAUUGAACAGCUAUCUCGUCAGCUCAAUGAAAUGUUGAAUACGACAAGAUGAAAGCAAAGAUGAC